CAACGCAGCAUCCCCCCCCCGGCCAAGUACGGCGGGCGGCACACGGUGACGCUGAUCCCCGGUGAUGGCAUCGGCCCCGAGCUGAUGCUGCACGUCAAAGAGGUCUUCAGGCAUGCGUGUGUUCCUGUGGAUUUUGAGGAGGUUCGGGUGAAUUCGGAGGCGCCUGAGGAUGAUGUGCAAAACGCCAUCAUGGCCAUCCGGCGCAACGGGGUGGCGCU
Malurus melanocephalus (red-backed fairy wren) is the source of this 218-nucleotide long non-coding RNA. RefSeq lists it as uncharacterized. The transcript has 3 exons. The record is from RefSeq and is a predicted model, not a curated record. NCBI's taxonomy places the organism in Eukaryota, Metazoa, Chordata, Aves, Passeriformes, Maluridae.